RNAcentral lists this ribosomal RNA (614 nucleotides) under uncultured bacterium. RNAcentral's name for it is "bacterial SSU rRNA". The stretch from base 1 to 522 matches the Rfam family "Bacterial small subunit ribosomal RNA", at positions 338 to 873 of the family's 1533-position model. The record is from RNAcentral.
CCUACGGGAGGCAGCAGUGGGGAAUCUUGCGCAAUGGGCGAAAGCCUGACGCAGCAACGCCGCGUGAGGGACGAAGGUUUUCUGAAUUGUAAACCUCUUUCAGCAGGGAAGAUAAUGACGGUACCUGCAGAAGAAGCACCGGCUAACUACGUGCCAGCAGCCGCGGUGAUACGUAGGGUGCAAGCGUUGUCCGGAUUUAUUGGGCGUAAAGAGCUCGUAGGCGGUUUGGUAAGUCGGUUGUGAAAUCCCCAGGCUCGACCUGGGGCCUGCAUUCGAUACUGCCAUGACUAGAGUUUGGUAGGGGACCACGGAAUUCCUGGUGUAGCGGUGGAAUGCGCAGAUAUCAGGAGGAACACCAGUAGCGAAGGCGGUGGUCUGGGCCAAUACUGACGCUGAGGAGCGAAAGCGUGGGGAGCAAACAGGAUUAGAUACCCUGGUAGUCCACGCCGUAAACGGUGGGCACUAGGUGUGGGGACUAUUCAACGGUUUCCGCGCCGACGCUAACGCAUUAAGUGCCCCGCCUGGGGAGGUACGGCCGCGACGACGUAAACGUACAAUAGAAGUUAAGUACGGCGUUGAGACGUUGCCGAACGGCGACGACGAGGGAGGUUAGG